UGAUUGUCCAAACGCAAUUCUUGUGUCUGUCAGAGUCUCCUGCAAGAACUGAGUCUGGACAUCACA
Molecule: microRNA precursor, 66 nt
Filed under: Ptychodera flava
Lineage: Eukaryota; Metazoa; Hemichordata; Enteropneusta; Ptychoderidae
Description: Pfl-Mir-219_pre stem-loop
Rfam family: mir-219 microRNA precursor family
About the family: The hairpin precursors (represented here) are predicted based on base pairing and cross-species conservation -- their extents are not known. In this case the mature sequence is excised from the 5' arm of the hairpin.
Source: RNAcentral